UUAAGUGACGAUAGCCUAGGAGAUACACCUGUACCCAUGCCGAACACAGAAGUUAAGCCCUAGAACGCCGGAAGUAGUUGGGGGUUGCCCCCUGUGAGAUA
RNAcentral lists this ribosomal RNA (101 nucleotides) under Streptococcus pneumoniae. The record is from RNAcentral. RNAcentral also lists the same sequence under 2 other names. Lineage: Bacteria; Bacillati; Bacillota; Bacilli; Lactobacillales; Streptococcaceae.